AAUGAACGCUGGCGGCGUGCUUAACACAUGCAAGUCGCACGAGAAAGCUUCAGCUUGCUGGAGCAAGUAAAGUGGCGCACGGGUGAGUAACGCGUGGGUAAUCUACCCUCGAAUUGGGGAUAACAUCGCGAAAGUGAUGCUAAUACCGAAUGAAAUCCUGAAAAUACAUGUUUUCGGGAUCAAAGAUGGCCUCUACAUGUAAGCUAUUGUUUGGGGAUGAGCUCGCGUACCAUUAGCUUGUUGGUAGGGCAAUGGCCUACCAAGGCUACGAUGGUUAGCUGGUCUGAGAGGAUGAUCAGCCACACUGGAACUGACACACGGUCCAG
This 326-nucleotide ribosomal RNA is filed under the name uncultured Desulfococcus sp. RNAcentral describes it as "bacterial SSU rRNA". It matches the Rfam family "Bacterial small subunit ribosomal RNA", at positions 29 to 334 of the family's 1533-position model. The record is from RNAcentral. Lineage: Bacteria; Pseudomonadati; Thermodesulfobacteriota; Desulfobacteria; Desulfobacterales; Desulfococcaceae.